Molecule: long non-coding RNA, 590 nt
Organism: Peromyscus californicus insignis
Lineage: Eukaryota; Metazoa; Chordata; Mammalia; Rodentia; Cricetidae
Exons: 3
Source: RefSeq, a predicted model, not a curated record
GACCCGGACAGGUCUUGGGAACCAAUUGGUGCUCAACCCCAGGGGCAUCUCUUGGAAGCUACCUGGAUUCCGCCUCAGCUCCAAGGAUAGCCUAGGCGUUCACUAGAGGUGGGGACCUUCCACCAGUUAGUUACUCAGACCCCUCGGAGUCAGGAAGAGAGAUGUGCCUUAUAAUGGUCCAUCCGACACCCUGCUAGGGUUACUUUUCUUUAUCAGCUUGGCACAAGGUAGAAUGGCCUGGGAAAGGGAUUGCCUAGAUGGAAUAUUUCUUGGGCUGAUUGAUUGUGCGUGGCACCAUUUCAUGGGCUGGGCCUGCACUGAUGAGAUGGUGUAUACCUGUGAUCCUAGCACUCCAGAGGCAGAGGCAGAAGCAUGGCUGCAGCUUUGUGCCAAGGCUGGAUUUAGCCUUGUGAUAAUGUGAGCCUGAAGCUGCCAACAGCUACCAUAUGGAACCUAAAGAAUGCUGACAGAAUCAAACAAGCUACAGAAAGAAACCCAACGAGUUUCACUCCAUAGCCCAGGAGCAACAGGGCUGCUCAAUUAUAAUAAUGAGAUCUUGUCUCAAAAAUAAAACCAUGUCCAAACCUCAA